CAGGGAUUGCCCUAGUAACGGCGAGUGAAGCGGCAACAGCUCAAAUUUGAAAUCUGGCCCUUUCAGGGUCCGAGUUGUAAUUUGUAGAGGGCGCUUUGGUGUUGGCUGCGGUCUAAGUUCCUUGGAACAGGACGUCACAGAGGGUGAGAAUCCCGUACGUGGUCGACAGUCUCCACCGUGUAAAGCCCCUUCGACGAGUCGAGUUGUUUGGGAAUGCAGCUCUAAAUGGGAGGUAAAUUUCUUCUAAAGCUAAAUAUUGGCCAGAGACCGAUAGCGCACAAGUAGAGUGAUCGAAAGAUGAAAAGCACUUUGGAAAGAGAGUCAAAAAGCACGUGAAAUUGUUGAAAGGGAAGCGCUUGCAAUCAGACUUGCCUGUAGUUGCUCAUCUAGGCUUUUGCCUGGUGCACUCUUCUGCGGGCAGGCCAGCAUCAGUUCAGGCGGCUGGAUAAAGACCUCUAUCACGUAUCUUCCUUCGGGAUGACCUUAUAGGGGAGGUGUAAUGCAGCCAGCCUGGAUUGAGGUCCGCGCAUUCGCUAGGAUGCUGGCGUAAUGAUUGUAAGCGGCCCGU
RNAcentral lists this ribosomal RNA (568 nucleotides) under Nigrograna antibiotica. RNAcentral's name for it is "eukaryotic LSU rRNA". It matches the Rfam family "Eukaryotic large subunit ribosomal RNA", at positions 69 to 652 of the family's 3401-position model. The record is from RNAcentral. Lineage: Eukaryota; Fungi; Ascomycota; Dothideomycetes; Pleosporales; Nigrogranaceae.